CAUAAUGGAAGAGAUGCUUCGGUGGAUAGGACUUCACCAAUGAUCCCUGCGGCUUGCUGAGGGUCUUCUACUCUAGUGAUUGUAUUAUCACUCUAGUGAUUAUAUUAUCACUCUAGCCCAUAGUGACCCCCGCAUCAAGUCCCCUAACUUCUCCAGCUGUCUCUAAUAAAAUUGGUGGUCAACUUUCUUAUUGCUUUCCUUCAAGCAUGGAUUAAUAUUUAAGCACAAUGAGCCACAAAAAAUGGUAAGUGUGGCGAUACCAAAGUGGUAAGUGUGGCUGUAUAAAAAUAGAAAACAACUAUAG
Molecule: long non-coding RNA, 304 nt
Filed under: Elaeis guineensis (African oil palm)
Lineage: Eukaryota; Viridiplantae; Streptophyta; Magnoliopsida; Arecales; Arecaceae
Description: long non-coding RNA (EGUI_LNC020010)
Source: RNAcentral